UGAUGGAUUCGCAUGCCACGGCGGGCUCCCUGCCACUGUGCAGCCAACCGCCGUCGCGGCAGCCCUUUCACUCGUGCUCCAACCACUCGGAGCCUCCNGAGUUGCCUGUACGACAUACCCGGUUCUCGGGCAAACGACUUCGUUCGACACGCUCUUCCGCUCCCCCCGCCUUCGUGCGGGCGUGGAGCGGCAACGUCGGCGGUCCUCGUGCUCCCUCGGACGACGGCACGGCUUCGGCCCCUCUGUCUCGUCUCGAUCGGCCCUCGAGGAUUCGCCAGCUCUCGCGGACACGGUAGACAAUGUUGGAUCGGGGCCUUCGCAGCCCCCGCACCACGAUCGGUCGGCUCACUUCGCCGCCCUCGACGAGACGACCGUNGGCCCGUCGUCCCCCCCACCGCUCGCCUAACGGCGUUCGGGCGGGCGCGGCGGGCCGCGAC
Molecule: unclassified non-coding RNA, 437 nt
Filed under: Heliconia solomonensis
Lineage: Eukaryota; Viridiplantae; Streptophyta; Magnoliopsida; Zingiberales; Heliconiaceae
Description: partial external transcribed spacer
Source: RNAcentral